This 497-nucleotide ribosomal RNA is filed under the name uncultured bacterium. Its description in RNAcentral is "partial 16S ribosomal RNA". It matches the Rfam family "Bacterial small subunit ribosomal RNA", at positions 28 to 507 of the family's 1533-position model. The record is from RNAcentral.
GAUGAACGCUGGCGGCGUGCCUAAUACAUGCAAGUCGAGCGAACGGACGCGAAGCUUGCUUCUCUGAUGUUAGGGGCGGCCGGGUGAGUAACAAGUGGAUAAUCUACCUAUAAGACUGGGAUAACUUCGGGAAACCGGAGCUACUACCGGAUAAUAUUUUGAACCGCAUGGUUCAUAAGUGAGAGACGGUCUUGCUGUCGCUGAUAGAUGGAUUCGCGCUGGAUUAGCUAGUUGGUAGGGUAAUGGCUUACUAAGGCAACGAUGGAUAGCCGACCUGAGAGGGGGGUCGGCCACACUGGAACGGAGACACGGUGCAGACGCCUACGGGAGGCAGCAGUAGGGAGUCUUCCGCAAUGGUCGGAGGACUGACGGAGCAGCGCCGCGGGAGUGGUGAAGGACUUCGGAGCGUAGAACUCUGUUAUCAGGGAAGAACAUGUGUGUAAGUAACUGUGCACGUCUUGACGGUACCUAAACAAAAAGCCACGGCUAACUACGUG